CACAUGAACACCGACACGUUGAACGCAUAUUGCGCAUCGGACGCUUCAACCCGACCGAUGCACACAUCCUUGAGU
This 75-nucleotide ribosomal RNA is filed under the name Anopheles willmori. RNAcentral's name for it is "partial 5.8S ribosomal RNA". Lineage: Eukaryota; Metazoa; Arthropoda; Insecta; Diptera; Culicidae. The record is from RNAcentral.